Molecule: ribosomal RNA, 465 nt
Filed under: uncultured bacterium
Lineage: Bacteria
Description: partial 16S ribosomal RNA
Rfam family: Bacterial small subunit ribosomal RNA
Source: RNAcentral
GACGAACGCUGGCGGCGUGCUUAACACAUGCCAGUCGAACGGAAAGGCCCUGCUUGCCGGGUACUCGCGUGGCGAACGGGUGAGUAACACGUGGGUGAUCUGCCCUCCACUUCGGGAUAAGCCUGGGAAACUGGGUCUACUACCGGAUGGGAGCCAUUUUUAGUGUGAUGGUUGUAAAGUUUUUUCGGUGUAGCAUGAGCUCGCGGCCUAUCAGCUUGUUGGUGGGGUAAUGGCCUACCAAGGCGGCGCCGGGUAGCCGGCGUGAGAGGGUGGACGGCCACAUUGGGACUGAGAUACGGCCCAGACUCCUACGGGAGGCAGCAGUGGGGAAGAUUGCACAAUGGGCGCAAGCCUGAUGCAGCGACGCCGCGUGGGGGAGGACGGCCUUCGGGUUGUAAACUCCGUUCGCUAGGGACGAAGCUUUUUGUGACGGUACCUAGAUAAGAAGCACCGGCUAACUACGUG